RNAcentral lists this ribosomal RNA (352 nucleotides) under uncultured bacterium. Its description in RNAcentral is "bacterial SSU rRNA". It matches the Rfam family "Bacterial small subunit ribosomal RNA", at positions 917 to 1269 of the family's 1533-position model. The record is from RNAcentral.
GGGCCCGCACAAGCGGUGGAUUAUGUGGAUUAAUUCGAUGCAACGCGAAAAAACCUUACCUACUCUUGACAUACUUGGAAGCUCUUGUAAUGAGAGUGUGCCUUUUGGAACCAAGAUACAGGUGCUGCAUGGCUGUCGUCAGCUCGUGUCGUGAGAUGUUCCGUUAAGUCGGAUAACGAGCGCAACCCUUACCCUUAUUUGCCAGCGAUUCGGUCGGGAACUAUAAGGGGACUGCCGGUGAUAAACCGGAGGAAGGUGAGGACGACGUCAAGUCAUCAUGGCCCUUACGAGUAGGGCUACACACGUGCUACAAUGGGGAAUACAGACGGACGCUAAGCCGCGAGGUGGUGCU